RNAcentral lists this ribosomal RNA (496 nucleotides) under uncultured bacterium. RNAcentral describes it as "partial 16S ribosomal RNA". It matches the Rfam family "Bacterial small subunit ribosomal RNA", at positions 28 to 506 of the family's 1533-position model. The record is from RNAcentral.
GAUGAACGCUGGCGGCGUGCCUAAUACAUGCAAGUCGAGCGAACAGACGAGGAGCUUGCUCCUCUGACGUUAGCGGCGGACGGGUGAGUAACACGUGGAUAACCUACCUAUAAGACUGGGAUAACUUCGGGAAACCGGAGCUAAUACCGGAUAAUAUAUUGAACCGCAUGGUUCAAUAGUGAAAGACGGUUUUGCUGUCACUUAUAGAUGGAUCCGCGCCGCAUUAGCUAGUUGGUAAGGUAACGGCUUACCAAGGCGACGAUGCGUAGCCGACCUGAGGGGGGGAUCGGCCACAGCGGAACUGAGACACGGUCCAGACUCCUAGGGGAGGCAGCAGGAGGGAAUUUUCCGCAAGGGGCGAAAGCCUGACGGAGAAACGCCGGGGGAGUGAAGAAGGUUUUCGGAUCGUAAAACUCUUUUAUUAGGGAAGAACAAAUGUGUAAGUAACUAUGCACGUCUUGACGGUACCAAAGCAGAAAGCCCCGGCUAACUACGU